UGGGGAAUAUUGCACAAUGGGCGCAAGCCUGAUGCAGCCAUGCCGCGUGUAUGAAGAAGGCCUUCGGGUUGUAAAGUACUUUCAGCGGGGAGGAAGGGAGUAAAGUUAAUACCUUUGCUCAUUGACGUUACCCGCAGAAGAAGCACCGGCUAACUCCGUGCCAGCAGCCGCGGUAAUACGGAGGGUGCAAGCGUUAAUCGGAAUUACUGGGCGUAAAGCGCACGCAGGCGGUUUGUUAAGUCAGAUGUGAAAUCCCCGGGCUCAACCUGGGAACUGCAUCUGAUACUGGCAAGCUGGAGUCUCGUAGAGGGGGUAGAAUUCCAGGUGUAGCGGUGAAAUGCGUAGAGAUCUGGAGGAAUACCGGUGGCGAAGGCGGCCCCCUGGACGAAGACUGACGCUCAGGUGCGAAAGCGUGGGGAGCAAACAGG
RNAcentral lists this ribosomal RNA (428 nucleotides) under Fusobacteriota bacterium. Its description in RNAcentral is "Fusobacteria bacterium partial 16S ribosomal RNA". It matches the Rfam family "Bacterial small subunit ribosomal RNA", at positions 355 to 776 of the family's 1533-position model. The record is from RNAcentral. Lineage: Bacteria; Fusobacteriati; Fusobacteriota.